UACGGAGGGUGCAAGCGUUAUCCGGAUUUACUGGGUUUAAAGGGUGCGCAGGCGGAUAUAUAAGUCAGUGGUGAAAUCUCUAGGCUUAACCUGGAAAUUGCCGUUGAUACUAUAUAUCUUGAAUGUUGUGGAGGUAAGCAGAAUAUGUCAUGUAGCGGUGAAAUGCUUAGAUAUGACAUAGAAUACCUAUUGCGAAGGCAGCUUACUACGCAGAUAUUGACGCUCAUGCACGAAAGCGUGGGGAUCAAACAGG
RNAcentral lists this ribosomal RNA (253 nucleotides) under uncultured bacterium. Its description in RNAcentral is "partial 16S ribosomal RNA". It matches the Rfam family "Bacterial small subunit ribosomal RNA", at positions 524 to 776 of the family's 1533-position model. The record is from RNAcentral.